Long non-coding RNA from Dicentrarchus labrax (European seabass), 293 nucleotides. RefSeq lists it as uncharacterized. NCBI's taxonomy places the organism in Eukaryota, Metazoa, Chordata, Actinopteri, Moronidae. The transcript is spliced from 2 exons. The record is from RefSeq and is a predicted model, not a curated record.
UAUCAUGUCAUUCUCUUUAGCUAGCUAGCUAGAGCUAGCACACAUAAACACAUAAACCAAAGGUAGCGCUUAGCUACGUGCUAAUCGCUAGCUAACCGCUAAUCGCUAGCUACAUGCUAAUCGCUAGCUACAUGCUAAUCGCUAGCUAAGUGCUAGCUGUGGUUAAUGUGUUUAAUUGUAUUAUGCUCCUGAAGGAGUGCUAAUGUAAAUUAAGGAACAGCUCAUAGUAGGGUAAAAUAUUUAAGGUGUAUUGUUCUUAUUUUGUGUUAAUAUUAAAAUCAUUCAGCUUUAAA